ACGCUGGCGGCACGCCUAACACAUGCAAGUCGAACGAAGUAGCAAUACUUAGUGGCAGACGGGUGAGUAACAUGUAGGUAUCUGCCCUUUGGCCUGGAAUAACACGAGGAAACUUGUGCUAAUACCGGAUAAGUCUUUACGGAGAAAGCUUUAUGCACCAUUGGAUGAGCCUGCACUUGAUUAGUUUGUUGGUGGGGUAAUGGCCUACCAAGACUGUGAUCAAUAGCUGAUUUGAGAGGAUGAUCAGCCACAUUGGGACUGAGACACGGCCCAAACUCCUACGGGAGGCAGCAGUGGGGAAUCUUGCACAAUGGAGGAAACCCUGAUGCAGCGAUGCCGCGUGAGUGAAGAAGGCCCUUGGGUUGUAAAGCUCUUUCGUCGGGGAAGAAAAUGACUGUACCCGAAUAAGAAGGUCCGGCUAACUUCGUGCCAGCAGCCGCGGUAAUACGAAGGGACCUAGCGUAGUUCGGAAUUACUGGGCUUAAAGAGUUCGUAGGUGGUUGAAAAAGUUAGUGGUGAAAUCCCAGAGCUUAACUCUGGAACUGCCAUUAAAACUUUUCAGCUAGAGUAUGAUAGAGGAAAGCAGAAUUUCUAGUGUAGAGGUGAAAUUCGUAGAUAUUAGAAAGAAUACCAAUUGCGAAGGCAGCUUUCUGGAUCAUUACUGACACUGAGGAACGAAAGCAUGGGUAGCGAAGAGGAUUAGAUACCCUCGUAGUCCAUGCCGUAAACGAUGUGUGUUAGACGUUGGAAAUUUAUUUUCAGUGUCGCAGGGAAACCGAUAAACACACCGCCUGGGGAGUACGACCGCAAGGUUAAAACUCAAAUGAAUUGACGGGGACCCGCACAAGUAGUGGAGCAUGUGGUUUAAUUCGAAGAUACGCGCAGAACCUUACCAACACUUGACAUGUUCGUCGCGACUCUAAGAGAUUAGAGUUUUCGGUUCGGCCGGACGAAACACAGGUGCUGCAUGGCUGUCGUCAGCUCGUGUCGUGAGAUGUUGGGUUAAGUCCCGCAACGAGCGCAACCCUCACUUUUAGUUGCCAUCAUUAAGUUGGGCACUCUGAAAGAACUGCCAGUGAUAAGCUGGAGGAAGGUGGGGAUGACGUCAAGUCCUCAUGGCCCUUACGUGUUGGGCUACACACGUGCUACAAUGGUAUCUACAACAGGAAGCAAGACUGCGAAGUUAAGCAAAUCCCUAAAAGAUACCUCAGUUCGGAUUGCACUCUGCAACUCGAGUGCAUGAAGCUGGAAUUACUAGUAAUCGUGGAUCAGCGUGCCACGGUGAAUGCGUUCCCGGGUCUUGCACUCACCGCCCGUCA
Molecule: ribosomal RNA, 1319 nt
Filed under: uncultured bacterium
Lineage: Bacteria
Description: 16S ribosomal RNA
Rfam family: Bacterial small subunit ribosomal RNA
Source: RNAcentral